Molecule: ribosomal RNA, 253 nt
Filed under: uncultured bacterium
Lineage: Bacteria
Description: partial 16S ribosomal RNA
Rfam family: Bacterial small subunit ribosomal RNA
Source: RNAcentral
UACGGAGGGUGCAAGCGUUAUCCGGAUUCACGGGGUUUAAAGGGUGCGUAGGUUGAUUGGUAAGUCAGUGGUGAAAUACUCCGACUCAAUCGGAGAACUGCCGUUGAUACUAUCAAUCUUGAAUACGGUGGAGGCGGGCGGAAUGCGUCAUGUAGUGGUGAAAUACUUAGAUAUGACGCAGAACACCCAUUGCGAAGGCAGCUCGCUACACCGGCAUUGACACUGAGGCACGAAAGCGUGGGGAUCAAACAGG